GAUAUAGCUAACAAGUACACCACAUGCCUGGCAAGCAUGAGGUCCUGAGUUCAAUUCCCGGUAUC
Molecule: transfer RNA, 65 nt
Filed under: Cavia porcellus (domestic guinea pig)
Lineage: Eukaryota; Metazoa; Chordata; Mammalia; Rodentia; Caviidae
Rfam family: tRNA
About the family: Transfer RNA (tRNA) molecules are approximately 80 nucleotides in length. Their secondary structure includes four short double-helical elements and three loops (D, anti-codon, and T loops).
Source: Rfam by way of RNAcentral